Molecule: transfer RNA, 99 nt
Rfam family: tRNA
About the family: Transfer RNA (tRNA) molecules are approximately 80 nucleotides in length.
Source: Rfam
GCUUCCUUAGCUCAGUUGGUUAGAGCUUCGUACUAAUACUACUCGCCAGAGCAAGUCUCAGUAAUGCGAAGGUCGCAGGUUCAAGCCCUGCAGGGAGCA